Brassica napus (rape) is the source of this 125-nucleotide non-coding RNA. Lineage: Eukaryota; Viridiplantae; Streptophyta; Magnoliopsida; Brassicales; Brassicaceae. The record is from Rfam.
AGAAAUUAAAAGACUGUUUCUUAACUUUUAACUAAAAAAGCUAAGAACUAAUUCUUAAAAUCUUUAUUUAAAAACCGAUUCUUAGUUUUUUUAGUUAAAAAUUAAGAAACUAUUUUUUAACUUCC